RNAcentral lists this ribosomal RNA (575 nucleotides) under uncultured bacterium. RNAcentral describes it as "bacterial SSU rRNA". It matches the Rfam family "Bacterial small subunit ribosomal RNA", at positions 923 to 1501 of the family's 1533-position model. The record is from RNAcentral.
GCACAAGCGGUGGAUGAUGUGGUUUAAUUCGAUGCAACGCGAAAANCCUUACCCACCUUUGACAUGUACGGAAUCCUUUAGAGAUAGAGGAGUGCUCGAAAGAGAGCCGUAACACAGGUGCUGCAUGGCUGUCGUCAGCUCGUGUCGUGAGAUGUUGGGUUAAGUCCCGCAACGAGCGCAACCCUUGCCAUUAGUUGCUACGAAAGGGCACUCUAAUGGGACUGCCGGUGACAAACCGGAGGAANGUGGGGAUGACGUCAAGUCCUCAUGGCCCUUAUAGGUGGGGCUACACACGUCAUACAAUGGCUGGUACAGAGGGUUGCCAACCCGCGAGGGGGAGCUAAUCCCAUAAAGCCAGUCGUAGUCCGGAUCGCAGUCUGCAACUCGACUGCGUGAAGUCGGAAUCGCUAGUAAUCGCGGAUCAGAAUGUCGCGGUGAAUACGUUCCCGGGUCUUGUACACACCGCCCGUCACACCAUGGGAGCGGGUUCUGCCAGAAGUAGGUAGCCUAACCGUAAGGAGGGCGCUUACCACGGCAGGGUUNAGNGACUGGGGUGAAGUCGUAACAAGGUAACC